ACUCCACAACAUGAUGCAAGAACCAGCAGCUAUAGUGUAAAGGAGAAGACACAGUGACCCAGCCAAGAGAAGAUGUUACUGCUGCUGAAGGAGACC
Molecule: long non-coding RNA, 96 nt
Organism: Melanotaenia boesemani (Boeseman's rainbowfish)
Lineage: Eukaryota; Metazoa; Chordata; Actinopteri; Atheriniformes; Melanotaeniidae
Exons: 4
Source: RefSeq, a predicted model, not a curated record